CGGACCUCAGAUCAGGCAAGACCACCCGCUGAGUUUAAGCAUAUCACUAAGCGGAGGAAAAGAAACUAACAAGGAUUUCCUUAGUAACGGCGAGCGAAU
This 99-nucleotide ribosomal RNA is filed under the name Diplasiolejeunea pauckertii. Its description in RNAcentral is "partial 26S ribosomal RNA". It matches the Rfam family "Eukaryotic large subunit ribosomal RNA", at positions 1 to 98 of the family's 3401-position model. The record is from RNAcentral. Lineage: Eukaryota; Viridiplantae; Streptophyta; Jungermanniopsida; Porellales; Lejeuneaceae. RNAcentral also lists the same sequence under 1 other name.